GUGGAGAAGAGUAUAGGGGCGGGCCCAUCAUCCCCGAAUUUAGAAGGCUGCACGUGGCCCAAAAGGUCAACUCCAGAUAGAUUUCUCAAUCAUAAAAAAAGAAUGGUGAAGUGAAACGAUGGUAAGAUGCAUUCUGUAAUAGGAGUGCAUAGAAAGAUAACAUACUUCAAGCCAGAUCAGACAACCAGAAGAACGAAUCAGAAAUUAUUCCACGGAGAAUAAUGCAGAACUUGAAGAAAUAUAGUGUAUAUUGUUUUGCUUAUUCCGAAAAAAAAAAGA
Molecule: long non-coding RNA, 279 nt
Filed under: Nicotiana benthamiana
Lineage: Eukaryota; Viridiplantae; Streptophyta; Magnoliopsida; Solanales; Solanaceae
Description: long non-coding RNA (NBEN_LNC004242)
Source: RNAcentral